RNAcentral lists this ribosomal RNA (489 nucleotides) under uncultured bacterium. Its description in RNAcentral is "bacterial SSU rRNA". It matches the Rfam family "Bacterial small subunit ribosomal RNA", at positions 30 to 517 of the family's 1533-position model. The record is from RNAcentral.
AUUGAACGCUGGCGGAAUGCUUUACACAUGCAAGUCGAACGGUAGAGGGGGCAACCCCUUGAGAGUGGCGAACGGGUGAGUAAUAUAUCGGAACGUGCCCAGUCGUGGGGAUAACGUAGCGAAAGUUACGCUAAUACCGCAUACGAUCUACGGAUGAAAGCGGGGGAUCGCAAGACCUCGCGCGAUUGGAGCGGCCGAUAUCAGAUUAGGUAGUUGGUGGGGUAAAGGCUCACCAAGCCAACGAUCUGUAGCUGGUCUGAGAGGACGACCAGCCACACUGGAACUGAGACACGGUCCAGACUCCUACGGGAGGCAGCAGUGGGGAAUUUUGGACAAUGGACGCAAGUCUGAUCCAGCCAUUCCGCGUGCAGGAUGAAGGCCCUCGGGUUGUAAACUGCUUUUGUACGGAACGAAAAGGUUUCCAUUAAUACUGGGAGCUCAUGACGGUACCGUAAGAAUAAGCACCGGCUAACUACGUGCCAGCAGCCG